This is a long non-coding RNA of Vicia villosa (hairy vetch), 314 nucleotides long. RefSeq lists it as uncharacterized. The record is from RefSeq and is a predicted model, not a curated record. Lineage: Eukaryota; Viridiplantae; Streptophyta; Magnoliopsida; Fabales; Fabaceae. The transcript has 4 exons.
CGACGUUCAUUUACCACUUCGGAUUUAGGAGCAGCAAAACCCUCCCGAAUCAAGUUUAGUUUCGUUAGUCACUGAAAGCCAUAGUUUAUGGAAAGCCGGUGACUAUGUUGUUGGUCCAACUUCUAAGCCAUCUCCCAGUCAAGGUCACUUGGAUCAUGCACGAGUUCAUCCCAAGUUUCUUCAUUCUAAUGCCACUUCUCAUAAGUGGGCUUUCGGAGCAAUUGCUGAGCUAGUGGAUAAUGCUGUUGAUGAGGUCCAAAAUGGUGCAACUUUUGUUAAGGUUGACAAGCUUAAGAACAAGAAGGAUAAUUCAC